This 261-nucleotide unclassified non-coding RNA is filed under the name Hevea brasiliensis (rubber tree). Lineage: Eukaryota; Viridiplantae; Streptophyta; Magnoliopsida; Malpighiales; Euphorbiaceae. The record is from RNAcentral.
CAGAACUAUUAAAAAAAAAAAUCCUGAUUGCUUCUGUUGUUGGAUGAAAGAUUCAGACUGUUCAGCAGAGAAAGCAACACCAAAAAGGAUGUAAAAGAGGCACCAAAAUAAAGAAAACAAAAAGGAAAUAAAAAACAAGACUUAAAUUUAUUUUUCAACAACAGAGUUGAGAGGCUUCCAAAAGCUUCACAACUAGUUUAAAAAUUAUGUGUACUUUAAAAGUUCUGUUCUUUGUGUUCCCUUAAUCCUUUGAAAUAAAAG